GGGGUUGUGGCUCAGAGGUAGAGCACUCACCUAGCAUAAGUGAGGCACUGGGUUUGAGCCUCAGCACCACA
Molecule: transfer RNA, 71 nt
Filed under: Marmota monax (woodchuck)
Lineage: Eukaryota; Metazoa; Chordata; Mammalia; Rodentia; Sciuridae
Description: tRNA.Ala
Source: RNAcentral